RNAcentral lists this ribosomal RNA (397 nucleotides) under uncultured bacterium. Its description in RNAcentral is "partial 16S ribosomal RNA". It matches the Rfam family "Bacterial small subunit ribosomal RNA", at positions 523 to 918 of the family's 1533-position model. The record is from RNAcentral.
AUACGUAGGGGGCGAGCGUUGUCCGGAAUGACUGGGCGUAAAGGGCGUGUAGGCGGCCGAUUAAGUCUGGAGUAAAAGUCCUGCAUUCAAUGUGGGAAUUGCUUUGGAGACUGGUUGGCUUGAGUGCGGAAGAGGUAAGUGGAAUUCCCAGUGUAGCGGUGAAAUGCGUAGAGAUUGGGAGGAACACCAGUGGCGAAGGCGACUUACAGGGCCGUAACUGACGCUGAGGCGCGAAAGCGUGGGGAGCGAACAGGAUUAGAUACCCUGGUAGUCCACGCGGUAAACGAUGAAUGCUAGGUGUUGCGGGUAUCGACCCCUGCAGUGCCGGAGUAAACACAAUAAGCAUUCCGCCUGGGGAGUACGGCCGCAAGGUUGAAACUCAAAGGAAUUGACGGGG